RNAcentral lists this small RNA (729 nucleotides) under Pan troglodytes (chimpanzee). RNAcentral describes it as "retained intron". The record is from RNAcentral. Lineage: Eukaryota; Metazoa; Chordata; Mammalia; Primates; Hominidae.
GGGCAGGGGGCUAUAGUGGAGUUGGAGUCAUGGAGAUCACAUCUGGUUGGCUCACAGGUGCUUGGGUUACAGAAGGUUUGGGCAUUAGGCCAGGGAGCUCAUGGGAGUUCAGGGAGGUUCCAGAGCUGAGGGAGGUCAGGGCAGAAGGUUUCUCAUGCUUCUUCUGUUCCCAGGGUGACCGAGGCUUUGACGGGCAGCCAGGCCCCAAGGGUGACCAGGGCGAGAAAGGGGAGCGGGUGAGUUGAAGCCAUGGUCAUGGUGAAUUGAGGGGAGCGUGCACUUUGGGAGAGGGUCCAUCUUUGGGGCCUCUGAUUACUGACUCUGUCCUAUAUCUCCCCAGGGAACCCCAGGAAUUAGGGGCUUCCCAGGCCCCAGUGGAAAUGAUGGCUCUGCUGGUCCCCCAGGGCCACCUGGCAGUGUUGGUCCCAGAGGCCCCGAAGGACUUCAGGGCCAGAAGGUAAGGGGCCCCAGCUCUGACUCCUGAUCCCUGAACCUUCCCUACCCUUCCAACCUCAUAACCAUCUUCCAGCCUGCCUGCCCCAACCUCUGAAGCUGUGGCCCCCAACCUGCCUGACUCCUGAUCCCCACUGCCUCUGACCCUGCUCACUUGGUCCCUGUGUCUGACAGGGUGAGCGAGGUCCCCCUGGAGAGAGAGUGGUGGGGGAUCCUGGGGCCCCUGGAGCUCCUGGCGAGAGAGGGGAGCAGGGGCGGCCAGGGCCUGCUGGUCCU